RNAcentral lists this ribosomal RNA (732 nucleotides) under uncultured bacterium. Its description in RNAcentral is "bacterial SSU rRNA". It matches the Rfam family "Bacterial small subunit ribosomal RNA", at positions 78 to 808 of the family's 1533-position model. The record is from RNAcentral.
GUCUUCGGAUUUAGAGACCGGCGCACGGGUGCGUAACGCGUAUGCAAUCUACCUUUCACAGAGGGAUAGCCCAGAGAAAUUUGGAUUAAUACCUUAUAGUAUUACGACUUCGCAUGGAGAUGUAAUUAAAGAUUUAUCGGUGAAAGAUGAGCAUGCGUCCCAUUAGUUAGUUGGUAAGGUAACGGCUUACCAAGACUACGAUGGGUAGGGGUCCUGAGAGGGAGAUCCCCCACACUGGUACUGAGACACGGACCAGACUCCUACGGGAGGCAGCAGUGAGGAAUAUUGGACAAUGGGCGCAAGCCUGAUCCAGCCAUGCCGCGUGCAGGAUGACGGUCCUAUGGAUUGUAAACUGCUUUUAUACAGGAAGAAACACCUCUACGUGUAGAGACUUGACGGUACUGUAAGAAUAAGGAUCGGCUAACUCCGUGCCAGCAGCCGCGGUAAUACGGAGGAUCCAAGCGUUAUCCGGAAUCAUUGGGUUUAAAGGGUCCGUAGGCGGAUUUGUAAGUCAGUGGUGAAAUCUCCCCGCUCAACGGGGAAACGGCCAUUGAUACUGCAAGUCUUGAAUUAUUAGGAAGUAACUAGAAUAUGUAGUGUAGCGGUGAAAUGCUUAGAGAUUACAUGGAAUACCAAUUGCGAAGGCAGGUUACUACUAAUGGAUUGACGCUGAUGGACGAAAGCGUGGGUAGCGAACAGGAUUAGAUACCCUGGUAGAAUCACUAGUGAAUU